This 362-nucleotide ribosomal RNA is filed under the name uncultured bacterium. Its description in RNAcentral is "bacterial SSU rRNA". It matches the Rfam family "Bacterial small subunit ribosomal RNA", at positions 28 to 379 of the family's 1533-position model. The record is from RNAcentral.
GAUGAACGCUAGCUACAGGCUUAACACAUGCAAGUCGAGGGGCAGCAUGAACUUAGCUUGCUAAGUUUGAUGGCGACCGGCGCACGGGUGAGUAACACGUAUCCAACCUGCCGAUGACUCGGGGAUAGCCUUUCGAAAGAAAGAUUAAUACAAGAUGUUAUCAUGAGUAAGCAUUUUCGCAUGAUUAAAGGUUUACCGGUGUAAGAUGGGGAUGCGUUCCAUUAGAUAGUAGGCGGGGUAACGGCCCCACCUAGUCUUCGAUGGAUAGGGGUUCUGAGAGGAAGGUCCCCCACAUUGGAACUGAGACACGGUCCAAACUCCUACGGGAGGCAGCAGUGAGGAAUAUUCGGUCAAUGGACGAG